ACAUGUCAGAUUUAAGUGACUUUUUACGUGUCCGAGGGCUUCCUGAAGAUGCCAUUUCAUUAUUGGAAGAGCAGAAGAUUGAUUGGGAUGUCAUAGCGCUGAUGGAUGACGCAACUCUGGCAAAUUACAUCCCUUCCUAUGGAGACCGAAUUGCCCUCUUCAAUUUCUGCAAAAGCAAACAACCACUCUCAAAAAGAAAACAGGGUCUUCUGCCAAGAGUUCCCCUCUCAGAGAUGAACUUGAUGACGUUGUGCACACAUGGAACUCACACAAAAUCAGGCCAAGUGGUGGUGCAUCAUCGGGUCGACCAGUAGUGAUGUACUCUUUUCCAGAGCUGCACAGGGCUGAGGAUAAUAGACUGAAACCUGUUUUCAUGGAUGAGAUCAGUGUGUGCAUGGAAGAGUGUACACCAAAAGGCCAAUAUCCCUGCGAUGAAACAGUGUUUGAACUUUGUUGUCUGCUUAUGGUAGAAAAUGAAUGGAAUGCCCCAAGAGAUCCACUUGUUGCUGCUGAUCUGUAUAUAAGGUUAAGAGAAAAAAUACUCCAAAGUGUUUAAGAAAUUUCUGUAGUCAAAAAGAGAAAAAACAGUGUUUCUGUUUAUCUUGAUUAUGUGAGUAGUUGUCAUGUCUUACAGGUACCCUAUAUGCAGGUAUUCUUGCUUUGUAUCAAAUGAAAUACAUUUUGGGGGCAAGCAAACAUGUCAUUUUUUACAUCAUUCUGUCAGAAUAUUAAUGGUUAUUACUGGUAUAAUGUAAAUGCAGUGUUUUGAUAUGAGUUUAGUUUUUCAGCUACCAUUUUACUGAUCAAAGUAAAAAAAUGUUUGGUUGACAUCUUGUCCCAAUAUAUAGUUUUUUCUUUACUUUUACACUCAGUCAUUAGAAGUAGCAAUGCUCAUUUCUUGUCAAAUAUAGAUAGUGUGAUGUGAUCAUCAGUUAUGUAACAAAUUCUUCUAACUAGCUAUGCUUUCAGCUGCAUAAACAAAUGUAUUUUUUCUUCUAACACAAUUCUGUAUUGUUAAAUAAAAUCCAAUGACAAUG
Long non-coding RNA from Girardinichthys multiradiatus, 1037 nucleotides. RefSeq lists it as uncharacterized. The record is from RefSeq and is a predicted model, not a curated record. The transcript is spliced from 3 exons. NCBI's taxonomy places the organism in Eukaryota, Metazoa, Chordata, Actinopteri, Cyprinodontiformes, Goodeidae.